UAGCUACUCCCUUCGUCCGGAAAUACUUGACAUUAAAAUGGAUAAAAGAAGAUGUAUCUAAACGUAUUUUAGUUCUAGAUACAUUUCUUUUCAUCCAUUUUGAUGACAAGUAUUUUCAGAUGGAGGGAAUACAAU
This is a non-coding RNA of Triticum aestivum (bread wheat), 135 nucleotides long. The record is from Rfam. Lineage: Eukaryota; Viridiplantae; Streptophyta; Magnoliopsida; Poales; Poaceae.